This 284-nucleotide ribosomal RNA is filed under the name Proteus mirabilis. Its description in RNAcentral is "partial 23S ribosomal RNA". It matches the Rfam family "Bacterial large subunit ribosomal RNA", at positions 1 to 277 of the family's 2925-position model. Lineage: Bacteria; Pseudomonadati; Pseudomonadota; Gammaproteobacteria; Enterobacterales; Morganellaceae. The record is from RNAcentral.
GGGUUGUGAGGUUAAGCGAAUAAGCGUACACGGUGGAUGCCUAGGCAAUCAGAGGCGAUGAAGGACGUGCUAAUCUGCGAAAAGCGUCGGUAAGGUGAUAUGAACCGUUAUACCCGACGAUAUCCGAAUGGGGAAACCCAGUAUCCAAUGGAUACUAUCAUUAACUGAAUUCAUAGGUUAAUGAGGCGAACCGGGAGAACUGAAACAUCUCAGUACCCCGAGGAAAAGAAAUCAACCGAGAUUCCCCUAGUAGCGGCGAGCGAACGGGGAGCAGCCCAGAGUCU